GAUGAACGCUGGCGGCGUGCCUAAUACAUGCAAGUAGAACGCUGAAGGAGGAGCUUGCUCUUCUGGAUGAGUUGCGAACGGGUGAGUAACGCGUAGGUAACCUGCCUGGUAGCGGGGGAUAAUUAUUGGAAACGAUAGCUAAUACCGCAUGACAACAGUUAUUGCAUGAUAACUGUUUAAAAGGGGCAACUGCUCCACUACCAGAUGGACCUGCGUUGUAUUAGCUAGUUGGUGAGGUAACGGCUCACCAAGGCGACGAUACAUAGCCGACCUGAGAGGGUGAUCGGCCACACUGGGACUGAGACACGGCCCAGACUCCUACGGGAGGCAGCAGUAGGGAAUCUUCGGCAAUGGACGGAAGUCUGACCGAGCAACGCCGCGUGAGUGAAGAAGGUUUUCGGAUCGUAAAGCUCUGUUGUAAGAGAAGAACGAGUGUGAGAGUGGAAAGUUCACACUGUGACGGUAUCUUACCAGAAAGGGACGGCUAACUACGUG
Molecule: ribosomal RNA, 495 nt
Filed under: uncultured bacterium
Lineage: Bacteria
Description: partial 16S ribosomal RNA
Rfam family: Bacterial small subunit ribosomal RNA
Source: RNAcentral